Rattus rattus (black rat) is the source of this 1137-nucleotide long non-coding RNA. RefSeq lists it as uncharacterized. The transcript has 2 exons. The record is from RefSeq and is a predicted model, not a curated record. NCBI's taxonomy places the organism in Eukaryota, Metazoa, Chordata, Mammalia, Rodentia, Muridae.
ACUAAUUGAGAAAAUGCCUUACAGCUGGGCUCACGUAGGCAUUUCCUAAGCUGAGUCUGAUGACUGGAGCUUGUACCAAGUUGGCACAGAAACAGCCAGUAUAACCCCAGAGCUUUCCUUUGAGGAGAGGAGUGGAGUUACUAGCUAAAGAUCUCAAGUGCUUGGCCGGCUACGUUGAUGUGAGAAGAUGGAUUUUCAAACUAGAUAUCUCCGCUGCUUGCUGGCUGGUGCCAGAAAGGCAGACUGCACGUUCUGUGGCCUUCACAAUAGCAGGGCUGGAGUCUCCAUCGCUGGUACCCCAGGCAAGCGGAACUGAUAAUGGGGAGGGAAGUAGUGCCUGGUAAUAGGUUCAUGUCGCACCAUGACUCCAGAAUAUGGGAGUAUAGUGGGACAGCUAACAGUGACGUGGUGCAGCGCAUGGAUUAAGAGGGUCUACAUUGUUUUCUUUGAUACAGGAAAGUUGGUGACUAAACUCUGCUUGUGCUAAAUGCCCAGCAAUGACCCAGUUGAGAUCCAGAAGCCAGGAAGAAGGAAGGGGGCCUACUUAUUGGCCAAGAUGGCUGAUCAGGAUGAGUGCAGAUAUGAUUUUAGGCCGUGGGCCUGAGGUAUGCCCUCUGACCUCACCAGUGUCCUACAGAACUCCCCAUAUGGCUUUGGGCAGCUCUGAACUUAACCCUGGUAGCCAGCCUAUGUCUUAAGUUAUGGACUGGAUUUGGGUUGGCCUGGGUUUGACUGGUCUAUGGUAGUGGCACUGGAGAUGAUGGGGAACCUCUAAAACUCAACAUCUCUACCUGACUGUACAUGGUCUUAAAAGAUAUAAUUAUGAGUUGGCGGGGAGGGGUUGGGAUUUAGCUCAGUGGUAGAGUGCUUGCCUGGCAAGCGCAAGGCCCUGGGUUCAGUCCCCAGCUCCGAAAAAAAAAAAGAAAAAGAAAAAAAAUGAGUUGGGGGGAGGGUGAUAGUGGUCCCUAUAGUUCAAGGCCAGCCUGGUCUACAAAGCAAGUUCCAGGAUGGCCAGAACUGUUAAAACAAAUAAACCCUGUCUUGAAAAACUAAGAAGGAGAAAGAGUGAUCUAGGAGGGGAACUGGCUGUAGUAGAUGCUGUGACACAAAUAAACUUAUCAAUUCUUACGGCUGGAA